This 253-nucleotide ribosomal RNA is filed under the name uncultured bacterium. RNAcentral's name for it is "partial 16S ribosomal RNA". It matches the Rfam family "Bacterial small subunit ribosomal RNA", at positions 524 to 776 of the family's 1533-position model. The record is from RNAcentral.
CACGUAGGGCGCAAGCGUUGUCCGGAAUUAUUGGGCGUAAAGAGCUCGUAGGUGGUUUGUUACGUCUGCUGUGAAAUCCUAGGGCUUAACCCUGGGCUUGCAGUGGAUACGGGCAGACUAGAGGUAGGUAGGGGAGAAUGGAAUUCCUGGUGUAGCGGUGAAAUGCGCAGAUAUCAGGAGGAACACCGGUGGCGAAGGCGGUUCUCUGGGCCUUACCUGACACUGAGACGCGAAAGCAUGGGGAGCAAACAGG